This 253-nucleotide ribosomal RNA is filed under the name uncultured bacterium. Its description in RNAcentral is "partial 16S ribosomal RNA". It matches the Rfam family "Bacterial small subunit ribosomal RNA", at positions 524 to 776 of the family's 1533-position model. The record is from RNAcentral.
UACGUAGGUGGCAAGCGUUGUCCGGAUUUACUGGGCGUAAAGAGCGCGCAGGCGGCCGAGUAAGUCGAAUGUGAAAGCCCCCGGCUCAACUGGGGAAGGUCAUUCGAUACUGUUCGGCUUGAAGAUAGGAGAGGGAAGCGGAAUUUCAGGUGUAGUGGUGAAAUGCGUAGAUAUCUGAAGGAACACCAGUGGCGAAGGCGGCUUUCUGGGACGGUACUGACGCUGAGACGCGAAAGCGUGGGGAGCAAACAGG